Molecule: ribosomal RNA, 305 nt
Filed under: uncultured bacterium
Lineage: Bacteria
Description: bacterial SSU rRNA
Rfam family: Bacterial small subunit ribosomal RNA
Source: RNAcentral
UUGCCCUACGGGAGGCAGCAGUGGGGAAUAUUGCACAAUGGGGGGAACCCUGAUGCAGCGACGCCGCGUGGGUGAAGGAGCACCUCGGUGCGUAAAGCCCUAUCGGCAGGGAAGAAACAGACGGUACCUGACUAAGAAGCCCCGGCUAACUACGUGCCAGCAGCCGCGGUAAUACGUAGGGGGCAAGCGUUAUCCGGAUUCACUGGGUGUAAAGGGGGCGCAGACGGCGAUGCAAGCCAGGAGUGAAAGCCCGGGGCCCAACCCCGGGACUGCUCUUGGAACUGCGUGGCUGGAGUGCAGGAGGG